This 552-nucleotide ribosomal RNA is filed under the name uncultured organism. RNAcentral describes it as "SSU rRNA". It matches the Rfam family "Bacterial small subunit ribosomal RNA", at positions 642 to 1191 of the family's 1533-position model. The record is from RNAcentral.
UUGAGUGCAGAAGAGGAAAGUGGAAUUCCAUGCGUAGCGGUGAAAUGCGCAGAGAUAUGGAGGAACACCAGUGGUGAAGGUGACUUUCUGGUCUGUAACUGACGAUGAUGUGCGAAAGCGUGGGGAUCAAACAGGAUUAGAUACACUGGUAGUUCACGCAGUAAUCGAUGAGUGCUAAGUGUUAGGGGGUAUUCGCCCUUUAGUGUUGCGCACUAACGCAUUAAACACUCCGCAUGGGGAGUACGACCGCAAGCAUGAAACUCAAAGGAAUUGAUGGGGACCCGCACAAGCGGUGGAGCAUCUGGUUUAAUUGGAAGCAAUGGGAAGAACCUUAUCAAAUCUUGACAUCCUUUGACAACUCUAGAGAUAGAGCCUUAACCUUCGGGGGCCAAAGUGACAGGUGGUUCAUGCUUGUCGUCAGCUCGUGUAGCGAGAUGUUGGGAUAAGUCACCCAUCGAGCGCAACCCUUAAAUUUAGUGUCCAGCAUUUAGUCGGGCACUAUAAGUUGAUAGCCGGUGACAAACCGGAGGAAGGUGGGGAUGAUCUCAAAUC